RNAcentral lists this ribosomal RNA (628 nucleotides) under uncultured bacterium. RNAcentral describes it as "bacterial SSU rRNA". It matches the Rfam family "Bacterial small subunit ribosomal RNA", at positions 89 to 694 of the family's 1533-position model. The record is from RNAcentral.
UUCUUAGUGGCGAACGGGUGAGUAACGCGUGGGCAACCUGCCCUCUAGAUGGGGACAACAUCCCGAAAGGGGUGCUAAUACCGAAUGUGACAGCAAUCUCGCAUGAGGAUGCUGUGAAAGAUGGCCUCUAUUUAUAAGCUAUCGCUAGAGGAUGGGCCUGCGUCUGAUUAGCUAGUUGGUGGGGUAACGGCCUACCAAGGCGAUGAUCAAUAGCCGGUCUGAGAGGAUGAACGGCCACAUUGGGACUGAGACACGGCCCAGACUCCUACGGGAGGCAGCAGUGGGGAAUCUUCCGCAAUGGGCGAAAGCCUGACGGAGCAAUGCCGCGUGAGUGAUGAAGGAAUUCGUUCCGUAAAGCUCUUUUGUUUAUGACGAAUGUGCAGAUUGUAAAUAAUGAUCUGUAAUGACGGUAGUAAACGAAUAAGCCACGGCUAACUACGUGCCAGCAGCCGCGGUAAUACGUAGGUGGCGAGCGUUGUCCGGAAUUAUUGGGCGUAAAGAGCAUGUAGGCGGUUUUUUAAGUCUGGAGUGAAAAUGCGGGGCUCAACCCCGUAUGGCUCUGGAUACUGGAAGACUUGAGUGCAGGAGAGGAAAGGGGAAUUCCCAGUGUAGCGGUGAAAUGCGUAGA